ACAACCCUGAUCCAGCCAUGCCGCGUGUGUGAAGAAGGCUUUCGGGUUGUAAAG
This 54-nucleotide ribosomal RNA is filed under the name Phaeomonas parva. RNAcentral describes it as "partial Bacterial small subunit ribosomal RNA". The record is from RNAcentral. Lineage: Eukaryota; Pinguiophyceae; Pinguiochrysidales; Pinguiochrysidaceae.